ACUGUAAAAAAUUACUGAUGCAAAAAGUUGUACAAAUGAGGAAAUACAUGUUGGCUCAACAUAAUGGUUGUGUCAAAUAAGAAAAAUAUGUUUGGUCAAUGAUUGCAUGAUUUCCAUGAUUGUACUACAAAAUGUUCAUCAAGAGAAAAUAAAUAAUUAUGUUGAGAUAACUUUUAACGUUGCACAAAAAAUAUUAUGUUGGCCGAGCAAGAGAGAACAGCGUCAAUCGUCUGAGCAUGCGCAAAGGAGUUCUACCAGGCAGCGCUGCAGCAGGCUGGAGUCACGACAUUGCAUUGUCAGCCAUUCCUGACAUCGCUGGACAAUCACACCCAGGGGUUGCUAAAGAUGUACAGAGCCAAAAGCAAGACUGGGAAGGUGGAACAACUUGGAUGAAAUUCUGGAACAACUGGAUGCCCAGACCACAGAUCUAACUACUCAUUGAAGGUCUGCUGUUCUUAGUGGUCUUCCCCUGUACUUGAGAGAGCCAGCUUCAAUUUCAAAGACUAUUAAGGAUACUGAGGCACUGGGGCCACACACAAAGGCCAUGCAAAUGGGGAUCCUGAAAGUGACUGACAGUUCUACCAACUCAGGACCAUAUCCCACAGUGGUCAAUGUGGCUGUAGUACUGGAGGAGGAAGUUAUCAUGGACAAUCUGGGAGACUUCACAAAUUCCCUCAUGAUGGUUGUUUCGGCACUGGUUGAAUACUUGUGUAAUAUUUUACUUGAGCCUAACAGGCAAAUUCAUAUGUAUUUAAAUAAAUAAAUAAAAUGU
Long non-coding RNA from Carassius gibelio (silver crucian carp), 772 nucleotides. RefSeq lists it as uncharacterized. The record is from RefSeq and is a predicted model, not a curated record. Lineage: Eukaryota; Metazoa; Chordata; Actinopteri; Cypriniformes; Cyprinidae. The transcript is spliced from 4 exons.